CCCCUUUAACAUUUUCUCUUGAUUAUGAAACACUUUUAAAAUUCUUCUGCACAUUAUUUUGGUGGGUCACAAGAAAAAUAGGUCUUGGGAGUUGUUGAGCGUUCAGGACUACCAAACUUGGCAUUCCUCAGUGGUUACUCAAUUUGGAAAUAUCUCAGUUGAGUUAAACUUCAACCAGCCCCAGUGACUAGUUUAUACACCGUAAAACUUUGUGGAGUAUUUUGUAUCAGCAAAUACCACCAGCCCAGAACCCUGGAGCCUGCAUUGCCUUUGUUAUUCAGACAUAACAGGGUGUUUUUAUCUCUUAAGUAUUUCAGACAUGUUCCUCUGAUUUGAAGGUUUUGCAUAUUACCCAAGGACUUUUGUAUCUAAACUAUGUUAAAGACACAUAGAAAAGGAAUGACGUCAUGGCUUUUGUCAGCUGGGCUUUGUGUUUAGCUAACGCCGGUGAGUCAUAGUCUUGUGACCAGCCAGGCACCUUUCCAAGCAGAGGCUGUUAAGUUCGUUGACAACAGAACCUGUAGAUGUUUUGAAGAGGAGAUUUCAACAAGGGACCUGCCUGCUUGGUCAUACCAGAGGCAGCUCCCUCAGUCUGUGAGAAUUGCUGACUUCAGAUACCCCUCAGAAGAAAUGGCUGUAUUGCAUAAACAUGUGUCCUGAGGACUGAACUCCCCGCCCCCAUUUAGUGAAGUAUGGCACUAAUGCCACCUGGAGGACGAACACAGACCAAAAAGGCUGCUGGAGGAAGCUCAGAAGGGUGUGCUGGAGAUACACUUACCAUUGGUAGCCAGAGAGGGUAGAAGCACACAGAGCUGUGGAAUUUUCAGUUAUGUCAUGUUGACAAACUGACUCAGCAGGAGGUGCCUACAUGGGAAAGAGAGUCCAUCUUCUCUGAAGCCCCCUCAAGGACAUGAUGGGAAAAUCAGGAAACUUCUGCCUCCCUGACUUGCUGGGAUUUGCUGUAUUCCCCUGGGCACUGAUCAGGCUGCAUUCCUCAAGCUCCGAGACAGUGGUAUGGCUCCACAGUUGGAAUCUGAAAGUCUCAUUGAUCAUCAGUGAAUGCAGUAGCUGGGAUCACAGGAGAAUGCUGCCCCUGUUUACCUCUCACAGAGCUGUUUAUAAAUUGGACACCUGUAAUUAGAUCUGCCUUACACAGGGAGCAUUAGGAGGAAAAACAGUCUCUUGAUUAGCUCUGAUGAAGACUCAAAAUUCAUACCCUGAGGUGCUCACCCCUACUUAUCUGUAGCUGGAAAUGAAGUCUUUGGGAAGACAGCAAAAUAAAGUUCAAAUGCAGUUGUAAAAAUGAAGCCUUUAUCCAAUAGGACUUGGGUCCACCAAAUGGCUCUCCUCCUCCUUGUAAACAGAGGGAAGGCCUUGUGAGGAAGAGAAGACAUCUACCCUGUUAGCAACUUGACUCUGGAUAUCAACAAUCUAGAACUCUGAGAAAAUAAGUUUCCGUUGAGGCAGGCAAGCAAGGAGGCAUAUAAUACCCUGGUGUCUCCAUUAGAUUUUGGGGUUAUAUGUUCCCUUCUCCCACAAUAAAGCCCUUGACAGACUAGUAUCUUCACCCACAGCUAUUCCGAAUAUGCACCCCUCUCCAAACAAUGCACCUAGCAAACUCAGAGCCCCUCAAACCCACAUAUGCGUUCGUCUCUAAACCAGUGGUUCUCAACGUUCCUAAUGCUAUGACCCUUUCCUUGCAGUUCCUCGUGUUGUGGUGACCCCAACCAUAAAAUUAUUUUUGUUGCUACUUCAUAAGUGUAAUUUUGCUACUGUUAUGGAUUGUAAUGUAAACCUCUGUGCUUUCUGAUGUUCUCAGGUGACCCCUGUGAAAAGGUCAAUUUACCCCAAAGGAGUUGUGACUCACAGGUUGAGAACCAACUCUAAGUGUUCCCAUCUUUGAACAAUGAUAUGCCUUUUCCAUCCCUGGUAGCAAUCAAAUUUAUACAGUUUCUGAUUAAGUAUAUUCCUGACACAUCUGGGUAUAAAGAGUAGAUGGGCCUGAACUGGUUUGUGUGCAUGUGCAGCAAAGCAAAAUUGUGUCCUCUAAUAACUUUCUGGGGAGAACCCUGUUUAUCAUCUUAUGCCUAGGUAUAACUGGGAGUGCACAUGAUUUAAAUCGGGGUCUACAUAACAGUAGAGCAAUGGUUAUGUAAUCCAUCAGUCAAAAUAAAGAGCUAUCUAAGCUGGGCGUUGGUGGCACAUGCCUUUAUUUCCAGCACUCUGGAGGCAGAGGCAGGUGGAUCUCUGUGAGUUUGAGACCAGCCUAGUCUACAAGAGCUAGUUCCAGGACAGUCUCCAAAGCCACAGAGAAACCCUGUCUCAAACAACCAAAAAAAAAAAAAAAAAAAAAAAAAGACUCAUCUAAACUAAAACUAUGUCCUUGUCCUUUUGAAACUGGCUGCUCUUUCUCUCAGACCCCAUAAAUAAAGACCCUAGGCUAUAUGUAUCUUGCUUGGGUUUUUGAGUAUUUUCCUGUAUGUGGUUCACUGUCAAUCAAUCAUGAUAGUUACCUCUCUUUCAUCUGUACUGUUACUUUGCUCCACAUGAAAUUAUCUUGCUUUAAUAGGAAGACUUGGUGGACUUUGCAGAGCCCCAGUUGAGGGCACUACCCUGCCUGGGGAGUGGUGGGUGGAUG
RNAcentral lists this long non-coding RNA (2638 nucleotides) under Cricetulus griseus (Chinese hamster). RNAcentral describes it as "lncRNA (ENSCGRG00000025612.1)". The record is from RNAcentral. Lineage: Eukaryota; Metazoa; Chordata; Mammalia; Rodentia; Cricetidae.